GACGAACGCUGGCGGCGUGCUUAACACAUGCAAGUCGAACGGAAAGGCCCUGCUUUUGUGGGGUGCUCGAGUGGCGAACGGGUGAGUAACACGUGAGUAACCUGCCCUUGACUUUGGGAUAACUUCAGGAAACUGGGGCUAAUACCGGAUAGGAGCUCCUGCUGCAUGGGGGGGGUUGGAAAGUUUCGGCGGUUGGGGAUGGACUCGCGGCUUAUCAGCUUGUUGGUGGGGUAGUGGCUUACCAAGGCUUUGACGGGUAGCCGGCCUGAGAGGGUGACAGGCCACAUUGGGACUGAGAUACGGCCCAGACUCCUACGGGAGGCAGCAGUGGGGAAUAUUGCACAAUGGGCGGAAGCCUGAUGCAGCAACGCCGCGUGCGGGAUGACGGCCUUCGGGUUGUAAACCGCUUUCGCCUGUGACGAAGCGUGAGUGACGGUAAUGGGUAAAGAAGCACCGGCUAACUACGUG
This 468-nucleotide ribosomal RNA is filed under the name uncultured bacterium. RNAcentral describes it as "partial 16S ribosomal RNA". It matches the Rfam family "Bacterial small subunit ribosomal RNA", at positions 28 to 507 of the family's 1533-position model. The record is from RNAcentral.